This 1276-nucleotide long non-coding RNA is filed under the name Ornithorhynchus anatinus (platypus). RNAcentral's name for it is "lncRNA (ENSOANG00000046841.1)". Lineage: Eukaryota; Metazoa; Chordata; Mammalia; Monotremata; Ornithorhynchidae. The record is from RNAcentral.
GGCCUAGUUCUGGGCCUGGGUCUGCUUGGGGCCUGUCCUGGCCCGGCCCCGGAGGCGUCUGGGAGGCCGGAGGGAGCCACUUCCGGUCCCCGCCCUCCGGCCGGAAGUAGCACGUGGUCGGGCCCCGUGGGGGCCGCCAUCUUGCGACGGCACGGCCCGAGGGUCAAACUUCCUCCCCCCUCCGCCCCGCCACCUCCUUCCUUCCUUCCUUCCUUCCUUUUCUCCGUUCAUUCGUUCAUUCGUUCAAUCAUUCGUUCACUCCUUCGUUCAUUCAUUCAUUCAUCUCUUCAUUCAUUCAUUCCUUUCUUCGUUUAUUCCUUCCUUCCUUCCUUUUCUCCGUUCAUUCAUUUAUUCGUUCAAUCAUUCGUUCACUCCUUCGUUCAUUCAUUCAUUCAUCUCUUCAUUCAUUCAUUAAUUCAUUUCUUCGUUUAUUCCUCCGUUUCUUCAUUCAUUCGUCCAUUCCUUCCUUCCUUCCUUUCUCCGUUCAUUCAUUCAUUCAUUCAUUCGUUCAUUCGUUCAAUCAUUUGUUCACUCCUUCGUUCAUUCAUUCAUUCAUCUCUUCAUUCAUUCAUUCAUUUCUUCGUUUAUUCCUCCCUUUCUUCAUUCAUUCGUCCAUUCAUUCGUUCAUUCCUUUCUUCCUUCCCUCCUUCCUUCCUUUCUUCCUUCCUUCCUUCCUGCAUUCAUUCGUCCGCUCAUUCGUUCAUUCCUUCGUCCGUUCAUUCAUUCAUUCGUUCGUUCGUUCCUUCGUUCAUUCAAUCAUUCAUUCGUUCACUCCUUCGUUCGUUCAUUCAUUCAUUCAUCUCUUCAUUCAUUCAUUUCUUCGUUUAUUCCUUCCUUUCUUCAUUCAUUCGUUCGCUCAUUCAUUCAUUCAUUCAUUCACUCCUUCCUUCAUUCAUUGAUUCCUUCGUUCAGUCAUUCGUUUGUUCAUUCAUUCAUUCAUUCGUUAAUUCAUUCAUUCCUUCAUUCCUUCGUUCACUCCUUCCUUCCUUCCUUCUUCCUUCCUUCGUCCGUUCCUUCCUUCCUUUGUUUAUUCAUUCAUUCGUUCGUUCAUUCAUUCAUUCAAUCAUAUUUCUUGAGCACUUACUGUGUGCAGAGCACUGGACUAAGCACUUGGAAAGCACAAUUCAUCAACAGAGAGAGACAAUCCCUGCCCAACAAUGGGCUCAUCAUUCAUUCAUUCUUAUUUAAUAAUAAUAAAGAAGAUGGCAUUUGUUAAGCUCUUACUCUGUGCCAAGCACCGUUCUAAGCGCUGGAGGGGGGAUGGAUAAAAGGUCAU